This 2276-nucleotide long non-coding RNA is filed under the name Callithrix jacchus (white-tufted-ear marmoset). RNAcentral describes it as "lncRNA (ENSCJAG00000079856.1)". The record is from RNAcentral. Lineage: Eukaryota; Metazoa; Chordata; Mammalia; Primates; Cebidae.
AUGUGGAUUCAUAGAUCCAUUCUGAGAAUUUUCAGGAAUGGGAGCCCUCAGGUCACAAAUCACUACCCCAUAGAAUGCCACGUGAUGAUGCAGGACCAUGAAUCAGGGCCCCUACAGCUCAGCAAAUCCUCAGUCUCCCUAAAACCAAUUGGAAAUGCACAAGAGAUCAAUAGAACAGGUGGAAGAAUUGUUCAGGCAGAGCAGUUGGGCGAGGGGUGGACAUUCAGUGAAUGGGCCACCUGAGUCCUCUGUGUUUCAACAGCCCUUAAAGACAUCACUGCAAGGCAGCAGCACAAUACAGAAACAACAUUAGAACAAGAAAGAAUAGAGGUCACUGGAGGUAUCACAGACCCCACCUUGUUGGACAGCUAAAUUGAUAAAAGGACAAAGCUAUUGCCACUCAUAAUUACAACCCUGAGUCAUUCAUAAGUAGUGAUUAUAUCAAAAUAUUAUGUGUAAAAUGGUUACAAAAAAGGAAAAAUAAGUCUAAUGGCAUUUAUACACACCGACUUCUAUUCUGUGAAAAAAAAAACAUUAUUUUACAAAAUACCUCAUGCUCUGAUUAGGUCAGACAUAUGAAUCUUUACAGUGAAAACUGGUAAUCAUAUUAGUAGAGGACAUUUAACUUUUUCAAAGUCUAUCAUCUCUUUGCAUCUUCACACUUUUCAUGUGAGAUUGCCAGGGCACAUAUUUGGUAUAAUUACCUUCACUUUAUAGAUCUGUCUCAGUAAAGACACUUAAGAUUGGCAGAGCCACUGUUAAAACCUGGGUUUCCUAAUGCACAACUCUGGGCAUUUUCCUCUGUGUUUCACCGCCCAAUAACUUCUUUGCGUGUAGACAGGGGGAUGCUAGGAAAUUAAAUGUGUAUCUAAGGACAGCUGGCUAUGCAAUACUAUGUAUGCAUUCAUUCAUUCAACAAGUAUUCAUUAAGCAUCUGAAUCAGUUAGCUAUUGCCACAAAAACACCACCCCCCGCGGUAGCUCACGCCUGUAAUCCCAGCACUUAGGGAGGCCGAGGUGGGUGGAUCACGAGGUUAAGAGAUCAAGAACAUCCUGGUCAACAUGAUGAAACCCUGUCUCUACUAAAAAUACAAAAAAUUGGCUGGGCAUGGUGGCGCGUGCCUGUAAUCCCAGCUACUCAGGAGACUGAGGCAGGAGAAUUGCCUGAACCCAGGAGGCGGAGGUUGUGGUGAGCCGAGAUCGCACCAUUGCACUCCAGCCUGGGUAACCAGAGCGAAACUCCGUCUCCAAAAACAAAACAAAACAAAACAAAAAAAAUACCCUCAAAAAAAUUACCCCCACACUACAUAGCUUUAAAGAAGUCAUUAUACUCUCACAGAUUUGUGUUUGAUGAGAGUUAACUAAUUUAGGAUGGGCUCAGCUGAGUAACUCCACUGAUCUCAGCUGGGAGUGACCUGAUCUGGCCUGGCUUGGCUGUGGUGGUUCGGCUCUGCUCCACAUGUCUCUCAUUCUCCUCCUGGGACUAGGUGAGCCCAGUCAUGCACCUCCCAUGGCAACAGCAGAUGCACAAGAAGAAAAGCAUCAUUUUCAUGUGAUUUCUAAACUUUUGUUCUGCCUUUUAAGCCUCUGGCCUGCUAACAUUCCAUUGGCCAGAGCAAGUCACAUAACCAAACUCAAAACCAAGAGGCAAGAACACAGACUUGGUCUCUUCAAUGGAACAAACUGCAAAGGAUGUGGAUAGGAAAGAGUGAAGAACUGGAACCAUUAAUGCAGCCAACAACAUCUACCAUAUUCCAAGCACUGUGCAAAGCACUGAGGAAGCAGUGCCAACCAUAAUAGAAGCUGGCCUCCUGAAGCUUACAGUCAAAGUCAAUGAAUAAAUAUCUAUAUAUAUGAAUUCCACUACAGCCUGCUACAACUGUAAUCAAAAUUUAAUAAUGAAAGUAAAUCUGCUACCCCCAUUAUAUUUUGCAUUUCCAGAAGGAAUUUGUGCUUUGAGGAGUUAUCCAUUAUUUUGAACUCUCUUCACAUUGCUUCCCUUCUAUUGUCAUACAUUAUCAAGAUGAUCUCAUAUGAUGUAUUUGUUCAAGUGAUAAUCAUAUUUAUUUAGAGAACCAAUGAAAUAGCACUUCUCUGUGGUUUUGGAUACAUGUCUGUUUGUUUUUUGAGACUGUGUCUUGCUCUUGUCACCCAGGCUGGAGUGCAAUGGCACGGUCUUGGCUCACUGCAACCUCCACCUCCCAGGUUCAAGUGAUUCUCCUGCCUCAGCCUCCUGAGGAGCUGGGAUUACAGGCGUGUGCCACCAUACCCAGCUAA